Papilio xuthus (Asian swallowtail) is the source of this 292-nucleotide long non-coding RNA. RefSeq lists it as uncharacterized. NCBI's taxonomy places the organism in Eukaryota, Metazoa, Arthropoda, Insecta, Lepidoptera, Papilionidae. The record is from RefSeq and is a predicted model, not a curated record. The transcript has 3 exons.
UUGAAGUAUCUUGUCAAUGAAGAUCAAAGAAAUAUUUUGUAUAAAGUGGUUUUACAUAUUUUUUUAGAAAUGUGUUUCGUAUUAUGUAACAUGUUCAAGAUGGUGUUUCUAUGCAUUCCUUUGAUUGUCGCCGUUAUAAUUGGCGUAGCGAUAUACAAUGUAAUAAAAGAUAACCUUUAACAUAGCGAGGUUACUUAUGAACCCUCAAUGGGGGUACUUACUUUAUUAUGGAAGUAUAAAUCUUAGUAAAUAUGUAAUUUAAUAAAUUUGUAAAGAAAUAUACAAUAAUUUA